UAGGGAAUCUUCCGCAAUGGACGCAAGUCUGACGGAGCAACGCCGCGUGCGUGAAGAAGGAUUUCGGUUCGUAAAACUCUGUUGUUAGAGAAGAACAGCGCAUAGAGUAACUGUUAUGCGUGUGACGGUAUCUAACCAGAAAGCCACGGCUAACUACGUGCCAGCAGCCGCGGUAAUACGUAGGUGGCAAGCGUUGUCCGGAUUUAUUGGGCGUAAAGCGAGCGCAGGCGGUCAAUUACGUCUGAUGUGAAAGCCCCCGGCUCAACCGGGGAGGGUCAUUGGAAUCUGGUGGACUUGGGUGCAGAAGAGGAGAGUGGAAUUCCAUGUGUAGCGGUGAAAUGCGUUGAUAUAUAGAGGAACACCAGUGGCGAAGGCGACUCUCUGGUCUGUAACUGACGCUGAGGCUCGAAAGCGUGGGUAGCAAACAGG
RNAcentral lists this ribosomal RNA (429 nucleotides) under Bacteroidota bacterium. RNAcentral describes it as "Bacteroidetes bacterium partial 16S ribosomal RNA". It matches the Rfam family "Bacterial small subunit ribosomal RNA", at positions 355 to 776 of the family's 1533-position model. Lineage: Bacteria; Pseudomonadati; Bacteroidota. The record is from RNAcentral.